This is a long non-coding RNA of Musa acuminata AAA Group (dessert banana), 974 nucleotides long. RefSeq lists it as uncharacterized. NCBI's taxonomy places the organism in Eukaryota, Viridiplantae, Streptophyta, Magnoliopsida, Zingiberales, Musaceae. The transcript has 2 exons. The record is from RefSeq and is a predicted model, not a curated record.
UGGAUUGCGGAUCUGAGCCCCAAGUUUCGGCUGUGGGAGUCCGGUGAUCGUUCUCACGAUGUGACCGCCUGAGGCGCUGGUCUACCGAACCUUAUUCCUCUCUCUCGCUGCCUUCUCCGACGAACCCUAACGCCUCCGUAUCUGGAUCAUAGUUUAUCAUAUUGUAAAAGGAGAUAUUGUGCCAAUCAUCAUGGGAAGCAAAAGCUGUAUACCUCCUCUGCAUCUGCAACGGCCUCUUAUUGGUCCUGGCUUGGUGCAACCAGAUCCAUUUGGUCCAGGCAUUCUCCUCCCGCCGGGUGUUUUUCCUUUCGAUAAGUUGCCACCUCCAGAAAUUAUGGCGCAGAAGCUUGCUGCACAACAUGCGGAAAUGCAAAGACUUGCAAUAGAGAACAAAAGGUUUGCAGCUACCCAUUAUUCUUUGAGGAAGGAAUUAUCUGCUGCCCAACAGGAGUUGCAGAGAUUGCAGACUGACAUGAGUGCCAUUAGAGCUGAUCAAGAGCAACAAUUAAGAAUGCUGUUGGAUAAUAUUUCAAAGAUGGACUCUGAGUUGAAAGCUUCUGAACCUGUUAAUGUAGAUUUGCAGCAGGCUCGUCCAGAAGCUCAGAGCUUGGUAGCAGCAAGACAGGAGCUAAUUUCCAGAGUACAACAGCUGACUGAGGAUUUGCAGAGGAGCCAUGGUAAUGUCCAGCAAAUCCCAUCGUUGAUGUUGGAACUUGCGGCCCUUAGACAAGAAUAUCAAGAUUUCAGGUCAUAAAUCUCUCUUCGGCUUUAUAUUCAAGCACACAACUUGUUCUCCUAAUGGUUUGACGUAAGGUCAAAUUGUUCAUUUAGUUUUGUAACAAUUUGACCUUACGAUCAAACCGAGAACAUGCAGAAAUUGGUUCACAUUAUUCUAUAAAAUUCUGUGAAUACUAAAUUGAAUGGUACCCUACCAAAGCGUGAAAUAGAAGACUGUCACCAAGGUCUUGCUACUA